AGUGAACGCUGGCGGUAGGCCUAACACAUGCAAGUCGAACGGCAGCACCGUAAGAGCUUGCUCUUACGGGUGUCGAGUGUCGGACGGUUGAGGAAUACAUCGGAUUCUACUUUUUCGUGGGGGCUAACGUAGGGAAACUUCCGCUAAUACCGCAUUCGACCUACGGGUGAGAGCAGGGGAUCUUCUGACCUUGCGCUAUUGAAUGAGCCGAUGUCGGAUUAGCUAGUUGGCGGGUUAAAGGCCCAGCUAAGCGACGAUCCGUAGCUGGUCUGAGCGGGUGAACAGACACAAUGGAACUGAGAAACGGUCCAGACACCUACGGGAGGAAGCAGUGGGGAAUAUUGGGCAAUGGGCGCAAGCCUGAUCCAGCCAUACCGCGUGGGUGAAGAAGGCCUUCGGGUUGUAAAGCCCUUUUGUUGGGAAAGAAAAGCAGCAGGUUAAUACCCCGCUGUUCUGACGGUACCCAAAGAAUAAGCACCGGCUAACUUCGUG
RNAcentral lists this ribosomal RNA (492 nucleotides) under uncultured bacterium. RNAcentral's name for it is "partial 16S ribosomal RNA". It matches the Rfam family "Bacterial small subunit ribosomal RNA", at positions 29 to 507 of the family's 1533-position model. The record is from RNAcentral.